UCUGCGAUGAAUUCUGUAUAUUACACAGUCCAUCCUCAAGGAGUCUAUUCAUUUCAUUAAUAGGAGAAAAAAGGCACCACCUAUAGAAACAGUGUAUUAUCUCUUUUUAGUAGGACAAUGGAUGAUUUGAUAGAGCAUAGAGUUCAUUAUAGAGAGACAGUUUCUAGGUACUGUAUAUUGCAUUCUCCAGAGAAAUAGUUCCACUUGUAACACUUUUCCAUAUUUUCAAGAAAUUAUGGAUUUCAUAUUUCUUAUAUAUUAUCAUAUAGCUUUAACUUCCUGAAGCUACUCUUGAAUUGUAACCACCAAAACAAGUUAUUGAUUUGUAUGCCAAUUCAGAAUCAUUUAAAAAUAGCAUUUAAUUUUUAUUCACUUAGCUAGAAUUAACAAAACCCCUUCAUUUUUUUCAUGUACUAAUGACAACCAGUCAGGAAAUCUCUAAAAAUGAAUGGUAAAUAAUGUUCUUUGAAGAACACUUUCUAACUCCAAAGUUUAUUUACUUUGAAUUUUUACUAUCAUUUUUAAUCCCCUAAAAAUCUUCCAAAGAAUAUUUUGUCUGUGGUCAGAACAUAUUUAAAAUUCAAAAUGAACCGCAUUGUUAAAUAGACAGUAAUCUUUGCCAGACCAUCAGUACACAAGAGCAGCCUUGAACACAGCCCAGAAAUUAGUACUGCAGAGAACUCAGAGUACAAGUAAAAGUUAUUAUUAGCAGGGCUCCAUGAAUUAAAACUUGGGUCUGGUAGUGAUAGAGGUCAACUAGGACUUGAGGAGCCUGAUGAUCCAAUCCCAAUUGUGUUUCCAGUGGCAUCAGCUAAUCCUGACUAGUGUGGCUAAUCCUGGGCAACACACCUCUCUCCUUUCCUCCCACCCUUUAAACAUGAGGGGAUUGGAUAUGAUAAAUAUCUAAAAAAAAAAUCAGUGUGUUUAAAUGAUAAAAAUGACCUCUGAAAUUCCACAUUUGGAGAUAUUAAAAGAUCAUAAGAAAACUGUUUAUUCCUCAUCUAUCAGUUGUCUCUUUGAAGGCUACUGAGGUAGACCUAAAGGACCAGAGAGGGUCCCUGAGGCAGCUGCAGCAUCAUGGAAAGUCCUUCAGGUCUGUGGCACAGAAGAUGAGUAUAAUCUUGAAGAAGAUGUCAACUAUCAGAAGGAUAUUAUUUCACGUAUUUUAAGUUCAUGCCUCCAACAGAAUGCUCGCCUGCAAUCCAUCU
RNAcentral lists this long non-coding RNA (1208 nucleotides) under Marmota monax (woodchuck). The record is from RNAcentral. Lineage: Eukaryota; Metazoa; Chordata; Mammalia; Rodentia; Sciuridae.